RNAcentral lists this unclassified non-coding RNA (365 nucleotides) under Bombus terrestris (buff-tailed bumblebee). RNAcentral describes it as "misc RNA ENSBTSG00005019687.1". The record is from RNAcentral. Lineage: Eukaryota; Metazoa; Arthropoda; Insecta; Hymenoptera; Apidae.
CACGCGGCUACGUGGAGCGGACGAGAACGAGGCAAUCAAUGAAUGCGAAUACCGGAGUCAUGAGGACAAAAGGGUAAACGCGUGAACAAGCGGCAAAAAGAGAGGAAAAGAAAGCACAGUGACGGAGGAGAAGAAAUACCGGUAGAAUUUGUAACCUAAGACGGUGGAAGCAUUGGCAAAAACCUCGACGUAACAGCGACAUGAAUGUGUAAACCGCAGCAAGAAAUGACUAUAAUCGAGACGAAGAUCAACAAUACGCGCUGUUUCGCGACCAUUUGCAGUGUUUGCGUAGCUUCGUGUGUGUCAUCGAUUCGAAUUGAGGGAAACGCGUGCGAAGAAAAGAACAGGAAUGAAAAGAGAAGAAA